This 496-nucleotide ribosomal RNA is filed under the name uncultured bacterium. Its description in RNAcentral is "partial 16S ribosomal RNA". It matches the Rfam family "Bacterial small subunit ribosomal RNA", at positions 29 to 507 of the family's 1533-position model. The record is from RNAcentral.
AUGCACGCUGGCGGCGUGCCUAAUCCAUGCCAGUCGAGCGAACAGACGAGGAGCUUGCUCCUCUGACGUUAGCGGCGGACGGGUGAGUAACACGUGGAUAACCUACCUAUAAGCCUGGGAUAACUUCGGGAAACCGGAGCUAAUACCGGAUAAUAUAUUGAACCGCAUGGUUCAAUAGUGAAAGACGGUUUUGCUGUCACUUAUAGAUGGAUCCGCGCCGCAUUAGCUAGUUGGUAAGGUAACGGCUUACCAAGGCGACGAUGCGUAGCCGACCUGAGAGGGUGAUCGGCCACACUGGAACUGAGACACGGUCCAGACUCCUACGGGGGGCAGCAGUAGGGAAUCUUCCGCAAUGGGCGAAAGCCUGACGGAGCAACGCCGUGUGAGUGAUGAAGGUCUUCGGAUCGUAAAACUCUGUUAUUAGGGAAGAACAAAUGUGUAAGUAACUAUGCACGUCUUGACGGUACCUAAUCAGAAAGCCACGGCUAACUACGUG